UUGCCGGCGACCGGCGCACGGGUGAGUAACGCGUAUCCACCCUUUCGCUUACUCGGGGAUAGCCUUUCGAAAGAAAGAUUACUACCCGAUGGUAUCUUAAGCACGCAUGAGAUUAAGAUUAAAGAUUUAUCGGUAAGCGAUGGGGAUGCGUUCCAUUAGGCAGUUGGCGGGGUAACGGCCCACCAAACCUACGAUGGAUAGGGGUUCUGAGAGGAAGGUCCCCCACAUUGGAACUGAGACACGGUCCAAACUCCUACGGGAGGCAGCAGUGAGGAAUAUUGGUCAAUGGGCGAGAGCCUGAACCAGCCAAGUAGCGUGAAGGAUGACGGCCCUACGGGUUGUAAACUUCUUUUGUGCGGGAAUAAAGGAGCCUACGUGUAGGCUUUUGCAUGUACCGUAACGAAUAAGCAUCGGCUAACUCCGUGCCAGCAGCCGCGGUAAUACGGAGGAUGCGAGCGUUAUCCGGAUUUAUUGGGUUUAAAGGGAGCGUAGACGGGUUUUUAAGUCAGCUGUGAAAGUUUGGGGCUCAACCUUAAAAUUGCAGUUGAAACUGGAGACCUUGAGUACGGUUGAGGCAGGCGGAAUUCGUGGUGUAGCGGUGAAAUGCUUAGAUAUCACGAAGAACUCCGAUUG
Molecule: ribosomal RNA, 633 nt
Filed under: uncultured Bacteroidales bacterium
Lineage: Bacteria; Pseudomonadati; Bacteroidota; Bacteroidia; Bacteroidales
Description: bacterial SSU rRNA
Rfam family: Bacterial small subunit ribosomal RNA
Source: RNAcentral